UGAGGAAUAUUGGUCAAUGGGNGCGAGCCUGAACCAGCCAAGUCGCGUGAGGGAAGACGGUCCUAAGGAUUGUAAACCUCUUUUGUCAGGGAGCAAGGAGCGCCACGUGUGGCGCGGCGAGAGUACCUGAAGAAAAAGCAUCGGCUAACUCCGUGCC
Molecule: ribosomal RNA, 157 nt
Filed under: uncultured bacterium
Lineage: Bacteria
Description: partial 16S ribosomal RNA
Rfam family: Bacterial small subunit ribosomal RNA
Source: RNAcentral